GACGAACGCUGGCGGCGUGCCUAAUACAUGCAAGUAGGACGCACAGUUUAUACCGUAGCUUGCUACACCAUAGACUGUGAGUUGCGAACGGGUGAGUAACGCGUAGGUAACCUGCCUGGUAGCGGGGGAUAACUAUUGGAAACGAUAGCUAAUACCGCAUAAUAUUAAUUAUUGCAUGAUAAUUAAUUGAAAGGUGCAAUUGCACCACUACCAGAUGGACCUGCGUUGUAUUAGCUAGUAGGUGAGGUAACGGCUCACCUAGGCGACGAUACAUAGCCGACCUGAGAGGGUGAUCGGCCACACUGGGACUGAGACACGGCCCAGACUCCUACGGGAGGCAGCAGUAGGGAAUCUUCGGCAAUGGACGAAAGUCUGACCGAGCAACGCCGCGUGAGUGAAGAAGGUUUUCGGAUCGUAAAGCUCUGUUGUAAGAGAAGAACGGGUGUGAGAGUGGAAAGUUCACACUGUGACGGUAGCUUACCAGAAAGGGACGGCUAACUACGUG
RNAcentral lists this ribosomal RNA (505 nucleotides) under uncultured bacterium. Its description in RNAcentral is "partial 16S ribosomal RNA". It matches the Rfam family "Bacterial small subunit ribosomal RNA", at positions 28 to 507 of the family's 1533-position model. The record is from RNAcentral.